RNAcentral lists this transfer RNA (74 nucleotides) under Thomasclavelia spiroformis. RNAcentral describes it as "[Clostridium] spiroforme (gut metagenome) tRNA-Trp". It matches the Rfam family "tRNA". From Rfam's summary of the family: Transfer RNA (tRNA) molecules are approximately 80 nucleotides in length. Their secondary structure includes four short double-helical elements and three loops (D, anti-codon, and T loops). Lineage: Bacteria; Bacillati; Bacillota; Erysipelotrichia; Erysipelotrichales; Coprobacillaceae. The record is from RNAcentral.
AGGGGUGUAAUUUAGUGGUAAAAUUUUGGUCUCCAAAACCAACUUCGGGAGUUCGACUCUCUCCACCCCUGCCA